RNAcentral lists this ribosomal RNA (466 nucleotides) under uncultured bacterium. Its description in RNAcentral is "partial 16S ribosomal RNA". It matches the Rfam family "Bacterial small subunit ribosomal RNA", at positions 28 to 507 of the family's 1533-position model. The record is from RNAcentral.
GAUGAACGCUGGCGGCGUGCUUAACACAUGCAAGUCGAACGGAAAGGCUCCUGCUUGCAGGGGUACUCGAGUGGCGAACGGGUGAGUAACACGUGGGUGAUCUGCCCUGCACUUCGGGAUAAGCCUGGGAAACUGGGGCUAAUACCGGAUAGGACGAUGGUUUGGAUGCCAUUGUGGAAAGUUUUUGCGGUGUGGGAUGAGCUCGCGGCCUAUCAGCUUGUUGGUGGGGUAAUGGCCUACCAAGGCGUCGACGGGUAGCCGGCCUGAGAGGGUGUACGGCCACAUUGGGACUGAGAUACGGCCCAGACUCCUACGGGAGGCAGCAGUGGGGAAUAUUGCACAAUGGGCGCAAGCCUGAUGCAGCGACGCCGCGUGGGGGAUGACGGCCUUCGGGUUGUAAACUCCUUUCGCUAGGGACGAAGCGCAAGUGACGGUACCUGGAGAAGAAGCACCGGCUAACUACGUG